This 442-nucleotide ribosomal RNA is filed under the name Vibrio harveyi. RNAcentral's name for it is "bacterial SSU rRNA". It matches the Rfam family "Bacterial small subunit ribosomal RNA", at positions 72 to 515 of the family's 1533-position model. The record is from RNAcentral. Lineage: Bacteria; Pseudomonadati; Pseudomonadota; Gammaproteobacteria; Vibrionales; Vibrionaceae.
GGACGAUAACGGCGUCGAGCGGCGGACGGGUGAGUAAUGCCUAGGAAAUUGCCCUGGUGUGGGGGAUAACCAUUGGAAACGAUGGCUAAUACCGCAUAAUACCUACGGGUCAAAGAGGGGGACCUUCGGGCCUCUCGCGUCAGGAUAUGCCUAGGUGGGAUUAGCUAGUUGGUGAGGUAAUGGCUCACCAAGGCGACGAUCCCUAGCUGGUCUGAGAGGAUGAUCAGCCACACUGGAACUGAGACACGGUCCAGACUCCUACGGGAGGCAGCAGUGGGGAAUAUUGCACAAUGGGCGCAAGCCUGAUGCAGCCAUGCCGCGUGUGUGAAGAAGGCCUUCGGGUUGUAAAGCACUUUCAGUCGUGAGGAAGGUGGUGGAGUUAAUAGCUGUAUCAUUUGACGUUAGCGACAGAAGAAGCACCGGCUAACUCCGUGCCAGCAGC